UCUCCGUUGGUGAACCAGCGGAGGGAUCAUUACCGAGUUUACAACUCCCAAACCCCUGUGAACAUACCAUUUGUUGCCUCGGCGGUGCCUGCUUCGGCAGCCCGCCAGAGGACCCAAACCCUUGAUUUUUUACAGUAUCUUCUGAGUAAAUGAUUAAAUAAAUCAAAACUUUCAACAACGGAUCUCUUGGUUCUG
This 195-nucleotide unclassified non-coding RNA is filed under the name plant metagenome. Its description in RNAcentral is "partial contains small subunit ribosomal RNA, internal transcribed spacer 1, and 5.8S ribosomal RNA". The record is from RNAcentral.